ACAGGUUACAACAAGUCUCCCAGCGAACAGGUUGAACUUGAUUCUAAUACACUAUGUAAGCUACAAUGGCACACAUACAGUGGUACAAGCAAUUGCCCGUGCCUUGCGGUUGCGAGAUACCAGCAAUUGCCAGUGCCUUGCGGUUGAGAGUUUACCAGGUUGGUUGCACGGCAGCUGGAGAACUCAGGCCUCUUCCACUUGCUCUUCCUCUUCCUGGAGGAGGUUCUCUCUGUUGUCGUGGGCCCAGAAGCCGCGCACAUCUAUAAGCAUGCUGGCAAUAGUCCCGCCUUGCUUGCAAGAUAGAAGAUCUGUUAGUGCGAUCCUGAGAGGAUCUGCCGGCUUUACCAUGUCCCAGAUUUCAUCCCUCACGUCUUCGAUGCAAAGUUCAUAGUUUCCGCCUUCAAUCCAUUUCUGGUGUACAUCCCUGGAAACGAUGACGAAGUUGCUUGACAGUUGUCAGGAAUCCCCUUCCAUUAAGAUCAAGGCAUCUAAAUAGGUAUGUCAAUCCUUCAGGAGUAUCUUUGUUUUCUAGAGCCAAAACAAAGUCAAGAAAGCUUUCAAAGUCCAUUUCACGACUGUUGCCACCUCCAACUUUGCUCCGGCGUACAUGCUCAUCAAAAACUGGAAAAAGAAAAGAAAUAUCAGUCAAUGUGCCAUCUGCAUAUUCCUUGAGCUCCUGUUUGCUCAAUGUUCCAUUUGUAUCUUUGUCAAGUGCAAGAAACAUAUCUGCAUGGGACCAUGCGCAUUAGCUGACGUCAGGGAAAACCAAUUUUCAGCCUGCUCAGUAUCAGUAACCUCUUCCUCACUCUCCUGA
RNAcentral lists this small RNA (814 nucleotides) under Oryza sativa Japonica Group (Japanese rice). Its description in RNAcentral is "sRNA Os05g0149850". The record is from RNAcentral. Lineage: Eukaryota; Viridiplantae; Streptophyta; Magnoliopsida; Poales; Poaceae.